This 320-nucleotide ribosomal RNA is filed under the name uncultured eukaryote. RNAcentral's name for it is "partial 18S ribosomal RNA". It matches the Rfam family "Eukaryotic small subunit ribosomal RNA", at positions 1470 to 1796 of the family's 1831-position model. The record is from RNAcentral.
CCCUUAGAUGUUCUGGGCUGCACGCGUGCUACAAUGGCGCUUGCAACAAGAUUGCCAACCCGAAAGGGUGAGCGGAUCUUUGAAGUGGCGUCGUGAUCGGGACAGUUGAUUGCAAUUAUUCGACUCGAACGAGGAAUUCCUUGUAAUCGCGAUUCAUCAUAUCGCGCUGAAUACGUCCCUGCCCUUUGUACACACCGCCCGUCGCUCCUACCGAUUGAGCGAUCCGGUGAAUGUUUUGGACUGGUGUCCGCAAGCGUUUCGCUUCGGACGCUACGAAAUUUUGUAAACCUUAUCGCUUAGAGGAAGGAAAAGUCGUAACA